UCGGCUACUUCGUCUUUGCGAAUGCGUUCCUCUCUCGCGAACGUAGAGCAUCUGCUUCCAACACUAUGUGAAUGCGGCUGCCUGCUCGCGAACAUGAUGCACCUAAACCCAAGGACCAAAAUUACUUGAUACGAACGCGGUCCACUGACUGCGAACGCGAAACACAUUAGUACACCAGAACAUUUGUCACACCUUUUUUUUCACCUACACCCCGCAAGGGGCGAAAAGGGGGGUUUUCAAUUAAAGGACAAUCGGAACGGGAUUUAAUUAUUAAUUAUUAAUAGUCACCACUUGAAAAAUUAAUGGUGUCCCAAGUCAUCGGUUAAAUCCCGAACCGAGAAAAAUAUGACUCAGUUAAUAGUCUGCGAACUAGAAAUCUGGAUAAGGAAUCAUGUUAACCCGAAAGAAGGUGUUAGGCAUUUUCGGGUUAUGUGAUUCUAGCACGUUCGCUCAGCUGUUGCAUUUAGCUUAUUAUCUGAUUUUAACACAUGAAGAGCCUCCUAUGUGCCAAUUUUGCUUUUUAACAGCUUUUAUUCAGUAUGUUUUUAUUUAAACCGCAAUCCUAAGCAUACUCUAUUCAACGUUUUGGGAUUUGAUUUGGAUUGCAUGAAAUGCACACCCGUAUUUAGGAAGGUAAAAUUAUCAAAUAACGUGCCUAAAGCAACUAUGCAUUUUACCUUUGCGGGGACCAUAAAAGUUUGCUAAAUAACACUCCUCGAAUUCUAAAGAUUUAAAAGAAAUAAUUAAGUGAAGGUAACGUAUUUUCGUUUAUGGUACUGAAAUGGAAAGUGUACCUUUUCUUUUGGAUCUACUCCAAAAGUCACGAAGCAGAAGAAUACAUUCAACUCCCUCAGCCCAAUCAAAUUAAAGCAACUUGGUGCUACUUAUUCAAUUACCUAAUUUACUACCCAAGCAAUAUAAGAAAUUAUAAAUAACUUCAUGAACCAUCAACUGAAAGUAAUAACUAUUCUAAUAAUCGAUGGCUUUCUUUGUUAACUAGACUUAUUUUUGAAAAGCAAAUACUAAUAACACUUAUUGCGACGAAUACAGAGGUCAUGGAACAAACCUUUAGAUUUCCAAAUAUCUAAUUCUUUUGAGUGAUUAGUUGGAUUAUCAAAUAAGUAUUCCCAGAACAUAAUUGCAUCAGAAUAUUCGUAACAAUGGAAACUUAUUGCAGAAAAAGAUCCAAAAACAUAUCCAUUCAUGCCAACCUCGAAAUGGAUUACCUGAAAGGGCAAAAGCAGAGCAGCGUCGCCUGCGCAAUCACUCCAGCUUUGACCAAACGUGACAACCAACCUCUUCUGCUUAUAUCUGAUCGAUUUACCCUCAGUAUAGCAUGGAAAUCAACUAUAGCACUGCUUUGAGCUCAAAAUGUAAUAAAUCGCAUACGGAAACUCGAUUAGGCACCGGAAAACUCGCACCAAAACGACAUCGAUCAAAGCAUCUCUAGUGAGAUUACAGCAACUAAACGGCAGCGAUGAACUCAAACAGAGGGAAAAAAUAAACUUAAGACCAAGCUGGACCGAAGAAAUUUGAAGGAAACCUCUUUCAAUAUUAAUAAAAUUUCAACCCAAGCUUUGUACAAUAGCCAUAACCAUGGAGAUACGAAAAACUGAAAUCAAAUAACAAGCUCGGAACCAAAUUCGCAAACUGAACCUUGACCAGGAAAACUUUUAACUCGGACGGACUUUCGGCGCCGAAACUUCGACUGUGUUUUAAUGGUGGUGAAAGUCGGCUGUUGGGUGUGAAGCUGGUUGCUUGUGAAGAACGGCCGAGGGGCGUUCAAGUUCUUUUGAAAAAAUGAUUGUUGCUGCUAGUUUUAUUGUUUUUUUUUUUUAGAGAAAGAUACUGAGAGAGGUUGUUUUCAUGGAGAUUUAUGGUGGCUUUGGAGAAGACCGCCGUCUCUGUUUUUUCCGCUCCCCCUUUCUAUUGCGUUUUUUUUGUCCGUCCCCCCUCUUACAUUGUGUACAAGAUGGUUUUAUAGAGUGUGUGAGGUAGGGUUUUACGCGA
RNAcentral lists this long non-coding RNA (2010 nucleotides) under Nicotiana benthamiana. Its description in RNAcentral is "long non-coding RNA (NBEN_LNC029201)". Lineage: Eukaryota; Viridiplantae; Streptophyta; Magnoliopsida; Solanales; Solanaceae. The record is from RNAcentral.